AAAUUCUAAAACGACGUCGUUUUGUGCUUAA
RNAcentral lists this small RNA (31 nucleotides) under Arabidopsis thaliana (thale cress). RNAcentral describes it as "ATSL187060". The record is from RNAcentral. Lineage: Eukaryota; Viridiplantae; Streptophyta; Magnoliopsida; Brassicales; Brassicaceae.